GGGGAGCAAACAGGAUAGAUACCCUGGUAGUCCACGCUGUAAACGAUGUCGAUUUGGAGUUUGUUGCCUAGAGUGAUGGGCUCCGAAGCUAACGCGAUAAAUCGACCGCCUGGGGAGUACGGCCGCAAGGUUAAAACUCAAAUGAAUUGACGGGGGCCCGCACAAGCGGUGGAGCAUGUGGUUUAAUUCGAUGCAACGCGAAGAACCUUACCUGGUCUUGACAUCCAUAGAAUUCUGCAGAGAUGUGGGAGUGCCUUCGGGAACUAUGAGACAGGUGCUGCAUGGCUGUCGUCAGCUCGUGUUGUGAAAUGUUGGGUUAAGUCCCGCAACGAGCGCAACCCUUAUUCUUUGUUGCCAGCGAUUUGGUCGGGAACUCAAAGGAGACUGCCGUUGAUAAAGCGGAGGAAGGUGGGGACGACGUCAAGUCAUCAUGGCCCUUACGACCAGGGCUACACACGUGCUACGAUGGCGUAUACAAAGGGAAGCGAAGGUGCGAGCUGGAGCGGAUCUCAUAAAGUACGUCUAUGUUCGGAUUGGAGUCUGCAACUCGACUCCAUGAAGUCGGAAUCGCUAGUAAUCGUAGAUCAGAAUGCUACGGUGAAUACGUUCCCGGGCCUUGUACACACCGCCCGUCACACCAUGGGAGUGGGUUGCACCAGAAGUAGAUAGCUUAACCGCGAGGGGGGCGUUUACCACGGUGUGAUUCAUGACUGGGGUGAAGUCGUAACAAGGUAACCA
RNAcentral lists this ribosomal RNA (738 nucleotides) under uncultured Enterobacteriaceae bacterium. RNAcentral describes it as "bacterial SSU rRNA". It matches the Rfam family "Bacterial small subunit ribosomal RNA", at positions 763 to 1502 of the family's 1533-position model. Lineage: Bacteria; Pseudomonadati; Pseudomonadota; Gammaproteobacteria; Enterobacterales; Enterobacteriaceae. The record is from RNAcentral.